Molecule: transfer RNA, 72 nt
Filed under: Camelus bactrianus (Bactrian camel)
Lineage: Eukaryota; Metazoa; Chordata; Mammalia; Artiodactyla; Camelidae
Also listed under: 2 other names
Rfam family: tRNA
About the family: Transfer RNA (tRNA) molecules are approximately 80 nucleotides in length. Their secondary structure includes four short double-helical elements and three loops (D, anti-codon, and T loops).
Source: Rfam by way of RNAcentral
GAGGGUAUAGCUCAGGGAUUGAGCACACACUUAGUAUGCAUGAGGUCCUGGGUUCAAUCUCCAGUACCUCCA